GGGAAUCACUUGCCAGUGGAGAACCCGCCGCUCCGGGGGGGCUCUUUCCGCUCCUGCCAGGCGGAGAUGAAGCGCCCUAAAACUACACAGCAGCAAAGCAUACCUCAGGGAGCAAACGCGGCUCGAGUGCCCGCAAGCUCUGUGAAAUAUCAGUCGUUUCCUACAUGUAUUGUCUGUGGCCAUCUUAUCUCACUGCGCUCUGAUAGCAAAAGAGGAAUUCCGGUCGAGCUUCUUAAUCCAUAAAAGGUUGAAUCCGGCUUUCUACCAGACUUUGGAACCUGGCUGCAGGGAUUUGCUCCCAUUCAUCCACAAGAGCAUCAGUGAGGUCCAACACUGAUGUUGGGUGAUAAGGCCUGGCUCGCAGUCGGCACUCAUCCCUGCUCAUCUCAAAGGUGUUGGAUGGUGUUGAGAUCAGGACUCUGUGCAGCAAUCUGCAGCCACCACAGCGGUGAAUCCAGACCUUCUGUCCAGGCUGCAGCCAAGUCAUCACAUCGAGCUUCAAGCUGAAAUUGGAUCAUCAGUGUUGGGAAAGUUACUUGACUCAAUACCAGUUAUUCAAUAGCACUCCCCUGCCAUGUCCUCACAGUGAAAGUGCAGGCUUCACAUAGGCCUACCCUCCAUCUCUGAACAAACCCACUUCAUUCCUAAAUUUAGGCUUACCAGUGGCUAACGUUAGCAGGCCAGCUGAGAACACACGACAUAUAAAUAAGACGACUUUGGCGUUACCGGGAGUCGCAUUUCUCCUCUUUUGGUCGAGGGUAGCCGCUCCAGCGCUCCAGCUCCUGCGCCAAGCUAAUACAUCCUGGACCGGCCGCCCGGAGGGGAAACGUUCCUCUCUGCUAAUGUAUAAUCACUGGGGGAAUAAAUGGCAGGAGUGUUUGACAGAGACAUUAAACACACACACACACACAUUAAUGUGACAGAGUGGUUGACAGAGCAGCUAAGGCCACACUGAUAGCCCAGUGUCAGUGGGAAAACCCUUUAAAUGUUCUCCCAGUGCCUGAACGCAAAGAAUAAUGAGACACACAUGCACAUAUUGCCACCCACACACACACUUUGAAUAUACAUGUACAUACACAUAUAGUGCACGAGAAGCGAUGAACGGCUGGCACAUCAGCACAUCGACACACACACACAUGCUGUCAUGCCAUAAUGAAAACUAUGACUAAUGAGGCCAUCCCCCAUUUUACAGGCCAUAUUUAUUGUGUCCCUUGUCACCAGCCGUAGAUCAUCUGCUGCCACUGCCACAUCCUGACAGAUUAACUGUGUGUUGUCAUGCUAAUUCACAUCACAGAUGCAGAGGUUUACCAGAGUUACCUAACCUGGAAUCAUGACUUGUGUGUAUGAGCAUGUGUCUGUAAGGCUGGAUUAACAACGGGGGAAAUGUGUCAUCUGAUUUGUGCAAAUUGAAUCAGCUGUUUUGGAAUAUGCAGCACUAAAGUAUUAGGUAUAGGGAUUUUAAGGUGGGUCCUGCUUUAACACCUAAUGUUGAAGCCCUGUCUUGAUGAGUGUUCUUGUGUCGAAAUUUAGUUCCAAGACCAUUACUGUUUCAGUAUUGUGCUUACAUGUUAAAUAUUCCUAAAAAACUUGAUGCAACAUUUACUGGUAAUUUAUGUAGAACAUAAAUUACCAGUAAAUGUUGUUACUGGUAAUUUAUGUUCUACAGCCUCAUUUGUUGGGGCCACCAAACAUAAAAUUACAGUUACCUGUUUAUUAUUGCAUUUAUCCUAAAAUGCCUUUUUUCACAACCUAUAAACUUCAUGUGGGUAGAGAUGUACAGAGCAAAACACUAUAACUGGAUCUAUGUCAAACCUGUCCUGCUCUUCUAAGAAUACAGAUUGUUCUGGGGUUUGUUAAAUCCUACCCAUGAAGAUGUAAACCGACUGGCUGUGUGCUGUUGGACUGCCAUGUACCUACAGUAGUUUCAGUAGUAAUGGCACUUUCCCGAUUAAUGUUUGCUUUUUUUAGCACAUGCCGACUCCCAGAUGGUAGACCAACCAUGUAUGUUGUACUUGAACAGAGCUUUAGGUUUGCAUUCUUCUGUAGGCCCCUCCAACUAAAUGCACGUUUGUGUAUUUAGUGAGUGAGCGAGUUUAACAAAAGGUCAACAGAUCGUCAUUUUUUGAGAUAGUGAAUGUUGAACUGUAGGUCACUAUGAUUUUGUUUC
Siniperca chuatsi (mandarin fish) is the source of this 2167-nucleotide long non-coding RNA. RefSeq lists it as uncharacterized. The transcript is spliced from 3 exons. The record is from RefSeq and is a predicted model, not a curated record. NCBI's taxonomy places the organism in Eukaryota, Metazoa, Chordata, Actinopteri, Centrarchiformes, Sinipercidae.